GACAGAGGCCCCAAGCGUUAGGCGGAAUCACUGGGCUUAAAGCGUGUGUAGGCGGAUCGUUAAGUGUCUUGUGAAAUCCCACGGCUCACCCGUGGAACGGCUGGGCAUACUGCCGAUCUUGAGCCAGCUAGGGGCAACCGGAACAAACGGUGGAGCGGUGAAAUGCGUAGAUAUCGUUUGGAACGCCAAUGGUGAAAACAGGUUGCUGGGGCUGUGCUGACGCUGAGACACGAAAGCCAGGGGAGCGAACGGG
RNAcentral lists this ribosomal RNA (253 nucleotides) under uncultured bacterium. RNAcentral's name for it is "partial 16S ribosomal RNA". It matches the Rfam family "Bacterial small subunit ribosomal RNA", at positions 524 to 776 of the family's 1533-position model. The record is from RNAcentral.